RNAcentral lists this transfer RNA (73 nucleotides) under Leptospiraceae bacterium. RNAcentral describes it as "tRNA-Arg". It matches the Rfam family "tRNA". Rfam says of the family: Transfer RNA (tRNA) molecules are approximately 80 nucleotides in length. Their secondary structure includes four short double-helical elements and three loops (D, anti-codon, and T loops). The record is from RNAcentral. Lineage: Bacteria; Pseudomonadati; Spirochaetota; Leptospiria; Leptospirales; Leptospiraceae.
GCUCCUAUAGCUCAGAUGGAUAGAGCGGUGCCCUCCUAAGGCAUAGACUCAGGUUCGACUCCUGAUGGGAGCA